AGCAAACCUACGCCGGUGUUGUCGUCUUUUUAUUUUUAUUUCGAUUUUUCGCUUGCCAUCUGGGACGCCGAUACCCCACUCUCAGAAAUAACCAAAGACAAUGGUUCACUGUGCGGGCUGCAAAAGGCCAAUCUUGGACCGGUUCUUGUUGAAUGUACUGGACAGGGCUUGGCAUGUGAAGUGUGUUCAGUGCUGUGAAUGUAAAUGCAAUUUGACAGAGAAAUGCUUUUCGCGAGAAGGCAAGCUUUACUGCAAAAACGACUUCUUUCGGUGUUUCGGGACCAAGUGCGCGGGCUGUGCCCAGGGCAUCUCCCCCAGCGACCUGGUCCGCAGGGCGCGGAGCAAAGUGUUCCACUUGAACUGUUUUACGUGUAUGAUGUGCAACAAGCAGCUCUCCACCGGCGAGGAGCUCUAUAUCAUAGACGAAAACAAGUUCGUCUGCAAAGAAGAUUACCUAAAUAACAGCAAUACUGCCAAAGAAAACAGCCUGCAUUCAGCUACCACCGGCAGUGACCCCAGCCUGUCCCCCGACUCCCAAGACCCCUCCCAGGACGACGCCAAGGACUCGGAGAGCGCCAACGUGUCCGACAAGGAGACGGGCAGCAACGAGAACGACGACCAGAACCUGGGGGCCAAGCGGCGGGGGCCCCGCACCACCAUCAAAGCCAAACAGCUAGAGACUCUGAAGGCCGCCUUCGCGGCCACCCCCAAACCCACGCGGCACAUCAGGGAGCAGCUGGCGCAGGAGACCGGCCUCAACAUGCGCGUCAUCCAGGUGUGGUUCCAGAACCGCCGCUCCAAGGAGCGCCGCAUGAAGCAGCUGAGCGCGCUGGGCGCCCGCCGGCACGCCUUCUUCCGCAGCCCGCGCAGGAUGCGGCCGCUGGUGGACCGCCUGGAGCCCGGCGAGCUGCUCCCCAACGGGCCCUUCUCCUUCUACGGAGAUUACCAGAGCGAGUACUACGGCCCCGGGGGCAACUACGAGUUCUUCCCGCAAGGCCCGCCCUCCUCGCAGGCGCAGACGCCGGUGGAGCUGCCGUUCGGGGCGGCGGGCGGCCCGCCGGGCACGCCGCUGGGCGCGCUGGAACACCCGCUGCCCGGGCACCACCCGCCCGGCGAGGCGCAGCGCUUCCCCGACAUGCUGGCUCACCCCGCCGGGGACUCGCCCAGCCCCGAGCCCAGCCUGCCCGGCUCCCUGCACUCCAUGUCCGCGGAAGUGUUCGGCCCCAGUCCUCCGUUCUCCUCGAUAUCCGUCAACGGCGGUGCUAACUACGGCAAUCACUUGUCACACCCACCAGAAAUGAACGAAGCGGCCGUGUGGUAGCUCGAAGCGAACUGGGUCUAAGUAAGUGAUGAUCAUCUAGUCUGCUUGUUGUUACGGUGUACAGAAAUGAGUAAAUCUAACAUCUCUCCCGCCCUAAGACAAUGUCACCUUGGGAACGAACUGCGCCCGGCGGCUCCGAGCGGAGCCCUGCUGCAGAGCGGGACGAUCCCGACGUGCGCUUGUCGCAGACACGGGGACCUGUGUGUGCCAUGACAAAGGAACUGGUGAAGCUGUACAGUAACGUGCUGCCGCGCCGGGGGAUGGCGCGAUGCGAUCGCCCUGUCCGGAUGUCAUCCCAAGAGCCACAAUCCUUAGAAACUUCUCCUUUAAAAAAGAACGAUUGAAUGACGGGAAUGAGGUGAAAGGAAAGGGGGAAAAGCUGCAAGAACUCUAGCGCUCCCGAUAAGGAUGGUUCUGGCGUUACGCAUUUGUUUGUUCAUUUUUCUCUCUCAAAAGUUCGACAACGAGAAACUCUUUAGCUUCAGCCAUUGCAGCCUGCUGAAUACCAGAUGUACAACCCGAUCGCAGGGCUUGUGGUUCACUGUGCUAGUUUGUCCAAGGUGUUGUUUACAGAAGGCAAAGAGAAACCCGCGAAUCCCAGACCGUUGCCAAAUAAAGGAAAUCUAUAGCACAAAUACUGUAAGGUGCUUCGCACCAGCAACCCGGAAAGGCGUUUCAAAGCGUUGCAAGGUUAAAAACAGAACCAACCCGACAUCUUUGCUAAUUUUUAGUCCUGUUGAACAUUCAUGGAAUUGUUAAUAUGACUUAUAUAGACCCACACAGGUUUUAUUUUUGUGUCUUUAAAAUAAAAGUCCAAAAUAUUUAAAUUUUAUGGUCAAAUAUGCAGUCAACAGCUGCUACUUUUUUUCUUUAUAUAUUAAAUUUCUCAUAUGUCUUUUAUUGUUCUAAUAAACCUAAGCUUGUGUGACCUCCAGUGCAUAUUAGACCAUUCACUGUAUGAAAGAAAACAUGUUGGAUAAAAUUUGUGCGUUUUUAAUAAAAUUAGAAAAUCUGAUGUUUAGAUAA
Molecule: RNA transcript, 2347 nt
Organism: Numida meleagris (helmeted guineafowl)
Lineage: Eukaryota; Metazoa; Chordata; Aves; Galliformes; Numididae
Gene: LHX1
Gene name: LIM homeobox 1
Exons: 6
Source: RefSeq, a predicted model, not a curated record